GUGCUCACUUUGGCAAUGCACAUACAAAAUUGGAAUGAUACAGAAUAGACUAACAUAGCCCUUGGACAGGAUUGACAGCAAAUUUGUGACGUAUUCCACAUAUAU
Molecule: small nuclear RNA, 105 nt
Filed under: Carlito syrichta (Philippine tarsier)
Lineage: Eukaryota; Metazoa; Chordata; Mammalia; Primates; Tarsiidae
Source: RNAcentral